GGAUGUGAGGGUGAUCUGGCUUUGACAUCUGUCACCCUAUUGAUCUCCAGGGUUGUCAGCUCAUCUGGCUGGCGGGGAGGGUGUCUCUUUCCUCCCUCAUUGCUCCAUGUGCCUCUCUUGGGAAGGUGCACGCUUGGUCGAAGAGAACAACCUUCCUGAAUAGAGCAGGACAGGUCUUUGGUCAAGGGUAUAUGAGUAGCUGUGAUCCCCUGAUAGAACCUCCAAACAAACUCUCAAGAAAAUACUUUGAAUUUACUGAAUGUACAAUUAUACGGAGCACUGUUUGAGUAUAAUUAAUAUAACGUUAGAAUAGAAUGCUUCACUCAGGAUGAAGGGAGGCUUUUC
Molecule: small nuclear RNA, 345 nt
Filed under: Neotoma lepida (desert woodrat)
Lineage: Eukaryota; Metazoa; Chordata; Mammalia; Rodentia; Cricetidae
Description: 7SK RNA
Rfam family: 7SK RNA
About the family: 7SK was discovered as an abundant small nuclear RNA in the mid-70s but a possible function has only recently been suggested. Two independent studies have found that 7SK RNA binds the CDK9/cyclin T complex (known as elongation factor P-TEFb).
Source: Rfam by way of RNAcentral